Molecule: ribosomal RNA, 484 nt
Filed under: uncultured bacterium
Lineage: Bacteria
Description: partial 16S ribosomal RNA
Rfam family: Bacterial small subunit ribosomal RNA
Source: RNAcentral
AUUGAACGCUGGCGGCAGGCCUAACACAUGCAAGUCGAGCGGAUGAAGGGAGCUUGCUCCUGGAUUCAGCGGCGGACGGGUGAGUAAUGCCUAGGAAUCUGCCUGGUAGUGGGGGAUAACGUCCGGAAACGGGCGCUAAUACCGCAUACGUCCUGAGGGAGAAAGUGGGGGAUCUUCGGACCUCACGCUAUCAGAUGAGCCUAGGUCGGAUUAGCUAGUUGGUGGGGUAAAGGCCUACCAAGGCGACGAUCCGUAACUGGUCUGAGAGGAUGAUCAGUCACACUGGAACUGGGACACGGUCCAUACGCCUACGGGAGGCAGCAGUGGGGAAUAUUGGACAAUGGGCGAAAGCCUGAUCCAGCCAUGCCGCGUGUGUGAAGAAGGUCUUCGGAUUGUAAAGCACUUUAAGUUGGGAGGAAGGGCAGUAAGUUAAUACCUUGCUGUUUUGACGUUACCAACAGAAUAAGCACCGGCUAACUUCGUG